UAGGGAAUCUUCGGCAAUGGGGGGAACCCUGACCGAGCAACGCCGCGAGAGUGAAGAAGGUUUUCGGAUCGUAAAGCUCUGUUGUUAAGGAAGAACGAGUGUGAGAAUGGAAAGUUCAUGCUGUGACGGUACUUAACCAGAAAGGGACGGCUAACUACGUGCCAGCAGCCGCGGUAAUACGUAGGUCCCGAGCGUUGUCCGGAUUUAUUGGGCGUAAAGCGAGCGCAGGCGGUUAGAAAAGUCUGAAGUGAAAGGCAGUGGCUCAACCAGUGUAGACUUUGGAAACUGUUUAACUUGAGUGCAGAAGGGGAGAGUGGAAUUCCAUGUGUGACGGUGAAAUGCGUAGAUAUAUGGAGGAACACCGGUGGCGAAAGCGGCUCUCUGGUCUGUAACUGACGCUGAGGCUCGAAAGCGUGGGGAGCGAACAGG
RNAcentral lists this ribosomal RNA (429 nucleotides) under Bacteroidota bacterium. RNAcentral's name for it is "Bacteroidetes bacterium partial 16S ribosomal RNA". It matches the Rfam family "Bacterial small subunit ribosomal RNA", at positions 355 to 776 of the family's 1533-position model. Lineage: Bacteria; Pseudomonadati; Bacteroidota. The record is from RNAcentral.